RNAcentral lists this transfer RNA (74 nucleotides) under Oscillatoriales cyanobacterium SM2_2_1. Its description in RNAcentral is "tRNA-Met". It matches the Rfam family "tRNA". From Rfam's summary of the family: Transfer RNA (tRNA) molecules are approximately 80 nucleotides in length. Their secondary structure includes four short double-helical elements and three loops (D, anti-codon, and T loops). The record is from RNAcentral. Lineage: Bacteria; Bacillati; Cyanobacteriota; Cyanophyceae; Oscillatoriales.
GGCAGCAUAGCUCAGUCGGUUAGAGCGACGGUCUCAUAAUCCGUAGGUCCCCAGUUCAAGUCUGGGUGCUGCUA